UAGCGAUCUGGGAAAAGUCCCUUGGAAAAGGGCAGCACAGAGGGUGAUACUCCCGUCUUUGCUCAGAUUGUCUGUGUGUACGAUACGCUUUCUUUGAGUCGAGUUGUUUGGGAAUACAGCUCAAAGUAGGUGGUAAAUUCCAUCUAAAGCUAAAUAUUGGUGCGAGACCGAUAGCGAACAAGUACCGUGAGGGAAAGAUGAAAAGAACUUUGAAAAGAGAGUUAAAGAGUACCUGAAACUGUUGAAAGGGAACCGUAUCGUUUCCAGUGUUUUAUCCUAUGCAUAUUUCAUCGGCGGAGUAAUUUGCUGGUGCCCUGUGCAUGGGUGUGACGUCAGAGUCAGUUUGUAUGCUGCGGGAGAUGGUUAGUAAGAAGGUGCGUCACUUCGGUGAAAGUUAUAUCUUGCUAUCUAGUUGCCGUGGUUGAGACUGAGGUGCCUACAACAUGCCCUGGGGUUCAGUGGCGUCUCGUUUUGGUGACUGCUUGGAUAGCUUGCUAUGUCUGUGGUUAAUCAGGGCGAUCGAUGCUAUUGAAAACCUCUGCUGUUCGGGACUCUGGCGAAAUGGAGCGAUACGACCCGUCUUGAAACACGGACCAAGGAGUCUAACAUGUGUGCAAGUAUUAGGGCGUGGAAACCCAAAUGCGUAAUGAAAGUAAAUGCUGCUUAUGCAGCUGUGGUAGGAAAGGGCUGUUAUGGUCCUGGCACUAUCGACCGAUCAUGAGCCUACGGGCGAAAGAUUUGAGUAUGAGCAUAUAUGUUGGUACCCGAAAGAUGGUGAACUAUGCCUGAAUAGGGUGAAGCCAGGGGAAACUCUGGUGGAAGCUCGUAGCGAUUCUGACGUGCAAAUCGAUCGUCAAAUUUGGGUAUAGGGGCGAAAGACUAAUCGAACCAUCUAGUAGCUGGUUCCCUCCGAAAUUUCCCUCAGGAUAGCAGCAACUUUUUACGAUAG
RNAcentral lists this ribosomal RNA (949 nucleotides) under Newbya apiculata. RNAcentral's name for it is "partial large subunit ribosomal RNA". It matches the Rfam family "Eukaryotic large subunit ribosomal RNA", at positions 169 to 998 of the family's 3401-position model. The record is from RNAcentral. Lineage: Eukaryota; Oomycota; Saprolegniomycetes; Saprolegniales; Saprolegniaceae.